UACGAAGGGGGCUAGCGUUGUUCGGAAUUACUGGGCGUAAAGGGCGCGUAGGCGGCGUAUCUAGUCAGGCGUGAAAGCCCCGGGCUCAACCUGGGAACUGCGCUUGAUACUGGUAUGCUUGAGUUCGGGAGAGGAGAGUGGAAUUCCCAGUGUAGAGGUGAAAUUCGUAGAUAUUGGGAAGAACACCAGUGGCGAAGGCGGCUCACUGGCCCGAUACUGACGCUGAGGCACGAAAGCGUGGGGAGCAAACAGG
This 253-nucleotide ribosomal RNA is filed under the name uncultured bacterium. RNAcentral describes it as "partial 16S ribosomal RNA". It matches the Rfam family "Bacterial small subunit ribosomal RNA", at positions 524 to 776 of the family's 1533-position model. The record is from RNAcentral.